Molecule: long non-coding RNA, 710 nt
Filed under: Nicotiana benthamiana
Lineage: Eukaryota; Viridiplantae; Streptophyta; Magnoliopsida; Solanales; Solanaceae
Description: long non-coding RNA (NBEN_LNC033555)
Source: RNAcentral
CUCAAUUCAAGAUCUCCAUAGCUACUAGUACCCAGUACUAAGAGGAAUCUAGUAUAAACACAUAGAACAAUAACAAACAAUGGGAUUUUGUAUAAACAAAAGCUCAGAAACAGAUUAAUCAUUAAAAUACAAGAUAAACAACAGAGAAAAGUUAGAAAUAAAACCUCAGCCACUUUUAUUCAUGAAACUCGAAUUUAAAAGAAAGUUUAAGAUGAACAUGCCAAAAACUCUGAAUGAAUCUUGAAAGCAAAAUCGACCAAAAUGAACUAGAAACUUAGCCGACAACCUCUGAUCGGAGCCGGAACUGUUAAACGGAAACCUCACCGGCGACUUCGACAGUAGCUGUGUUUGUGACUGCUUUUAGUAACGGUUUUGGCUUGUUUCGACUGACUCCAGGCGGGAUGUGGUGUGCAAAUUUCAGCUAAUUUUUUUAAGGAAGUAGGAGUGUCGAUUUAUGGCUUAAAGGGAGGAGCUAGGUGGCUUUGGGCUGAGAUUUUUUUAGGUUAGAUUUGCUGGGUGAUUUUCAGCUAUUUAUGAAGGAAGAUGGAGGUGGAAUCUUGGUCAUAGGGUGGUUCGGCUAUUUUCAUUUUUGGAUUAAAAUUCAAGGGGUCUCCUCCAUGGUCCAAACGGCUGACCAAAUUCCGAAGAAGAACGGCCUGCUUAGGUGUCUAACCUUAGAGACUUAGGUCUUUCAUUUUUUUGGUGUUUCU